RNAcentral lists this ribosomal RNA (849 nucleotides) under Pleurotheciella sympodia. Its description in RNAcentral is "SSU rRNA". It matches the Rfam family "Eukaryotic small subunit ribosomal RNA", at positions 157 to 1016 of the family's 1831-position model. Lineage: Eukaryota; Fungi; Ascomycota; Sordariomycetes; Pleurotheciales; Pleurotheciaceae. The record is from RNAcentral.
UCUAGAGCUAAUACAUGCUGAAAAUCCCGACUUCGGAAGGGACGUAUUUAUUAGAAUCAGAACCAAUGCCCUUCGGGGUUUUCUGGUGACUCAUGAUAACUCCACAGAUCGCAUGGCCUUGCGCCGGCGAUGGCUCAUUCAAAUUUCUUCCCUAUCAACUUUCGACGGUACGGUCUUGGCCUACCGUGGUUGUAACGGGUGACGGAGGGUUAGGGCUCGACCCCGGAGAAGGAGCCUGAGAAACGGCUACUACAUCCAAGGAAGGCAGCAGGCGCGCAAAUUAUCCAAUCCCGACUCGGGGAGAUAGUGACAAUAAAUACCGAUACAGGGCUCUUUUGGGCCCUGUAAUUGGAAUGAGUACAAUUUAAACCUCUUAACGAGGAACAAUUGGAGGGCAAGUCUGGUGCCAGCAGCCGCGGUAAUUCCAGCUCCAAUAGCGUAUAUUAAAGUUGUUGUGGUUAAAAAGCUCGUAGUCGAACCUCGAGCCUGGCCGGCCGGUCCGCCUCACCGCGUGCACUGGUCUGGCCGGGCUCUUCCCUCUGCGGAACCGCAUGUCCUUCACUGGGCGUGUCGGGGAGGCAGGACUUUUACUUUGAAAAAAUUAGAGUGCUCAAGGCAGGCCAAUGCUCGAAUACAUUAGCAUGGAAUAAUAGAAUAGGACGUUGGUUCUAUUUUGUUGGUUUCUAGGACCGCCGUAAUGAUCAAUAGGGACGGUCGGGGGCAUCAGUAUUCAGCCGUCAAAGGUGAAAUUCUUGAACCGGCUGAAGACUAACUACUGCGAAAGCAUUUGCCAAGGACGUUUUCGCUGAUCAGGAACGAAAGUUAGGGGAUCGAAGACGAUCAGAUACC